RNAcentral lists this ribosomal RNA (440 nucleotides) under uncultured bacterium. Its description in RNAcentral is "partial 16S ribosomal RNA". It matches the Rfam family "Bacterial small subunit ribosomal RNA", at positions 338 to 795 of the family's 1533-position model. The record is from RNAcentral.
CCUACGGGUGGCUGCAGUGGGGAAUAUUGCACAAUGGGGGAAACCCUGAUGCAGCGACGCCGCGUGAGUGAAGAAGUAUUUCGGUAUGUAAAGCUCUAUCAGCAGGGAAGAAAAUGACGGUACCUGACUAAGAAGCCCCGGCUAACUACGUGCCAGCAGCCGCGGUAAUACGUAGGGGGCAAGCGUUAUCCGGAUUUACUGGGUGUAAAGGGAGCGUAGACGGUGAUGUAAGUCAGACGUGAAAGCGCUGGGCUCAACUCCUGGACUGCUUUUGAAACUGUGUGACUGGAGUGCUGGAGAGGCAAGCGGAAUUCCGGGUGUAGCGGUGAAAUGCGUAGAUAUACGGAGGAACACCAGUGGCGAAGGCGGCUUACUGGACUGUAACUGACGUUGAGGCGCGAAAGCGUGGGGAGCAAACAGGAUUAGAUACCCUUGUAGUC